AACCAGAGGAGGAAAAGAAGCAACUUACAACACCUCAUUUAAAACCCAUUAGUGCUUCUAGUAUAUUGUCACUUGAUACAAAAUUUGCUAUUUUUAAGGCACAACUAAAGAAAGAAAAAGAGGUCAAUGAGCAAUUAGAUGACAAAUUUAAAAAGAUGAAAAAUAAGUACCGGUAUGUGGUAUCAACUAAUACUAGUUCAGCAUUGAACAAGACUUUAGGAGCAAUGAGGAUGGAGAUAGAAGACUUGAUAUUGUAUUUAACGUCAAAUAAAACUGAUUCACAGGAUCAGAAUGCAGCAUUGGCAGAGAAUAAAAAAGAGAUAGAGCAUUUACAAGAACAGAUUUCAUUAAUGAAAAGGAAAAU
This is a long non-coding RNA of Amphimedon queenslandica, 364 nucleotides long. RefSeq lists it as uncharacterized. The record is from RefSeq and is a predicted model, not a curated record. NCBI's taxonomy places the organism in Eukaryota, Metazoa, Porifera, Demospongiae, Haplosclerida, Niphatidae. The transcript has 5 exons.